GAGAGCCAGAGACCAGUGAUUGGUCAGACAGCUCACUAGCGGAUCUAGUCUUCUAUAUAUAUCUAUGGUCGGAACGUAUGGUAGCAUCUCUGGCUGCUGUUGACCUUGUUUUUGGAGUAAAACAUGGUGGAAGCUGAAUUAGUGAGGAUGACUCCUGCCAUCUCUAAACUCCUCACACAUCUUUACCUGCACAUACUUGAAUUUUCUGACCCAAGAGCCGAUGUAAUCCACAGCUGUCACUGCAUUGGUGGUGGACCUGCCAAACAACAAUGCCUGCUGUGAUGACAAUGCCACCAUCCCUCCUCUCUCCUGCAGGAAACCCUAACGCACUUCAGCUGCUGCUUCCUUCUCCACCGCUACACACCCGAAAAUAAAAAACAAACACAUGACUACAA
Amphiprion ocellaris (clown anemonefish) is the source of this 395-nucleotide long non-coding RNA. RefSeq lists it as uncharacterized. The record is from RefSeq and is a predicted model, not a curated record. The transcript is spliced from 3 exons. Lineage: Eukaryota; Metazoa; Chordata; Actinopteri; Pomacentridae.